CGAGCUCAAAUUUGAAAUCUGGGGCCCUCGGCCUCCGAGUUGUAAUUUGGAGAGGCAUCUUCGGAGGGGAGCGCCGGCCCAUGUUCCUUGGAACAGGACGUCGCAGAGGGUGAGAAUCCCGUGCCAGGCCGGCAGCCUCCCCUCGCGUGAAGGGCCUUCGACGAGUCGAGUUGUUUGGGAAUGCAGCUCCAAGUGGGUGGUAUAUUUCAUCUAAAGCUAAAUACCGGCGGGAGACCGAUAGCGCACAAGUAGAGUGAUCGAAAGAUGAAAAGCACUUUGAAAAUAGAGUCAAAAAGUACGUGAAAUUGUUGAAAGGGAAGCGCUUGAGACCAGACUCAGACCCGAGCAAACACCGCGCCCCUCGGGGCCGUGCACUUGCCAGGGGCUGGGCCAGCAUCAGUCGGCGUGGCGGGACAAAGGCGAGGGCAAUGUGGCUCCCCUCGGGGAGUGUUAUUAGGCCCACGCUCAAUGCCGCCGACGUCGACUGAGGACCGCGCCUCGGCUAGGAUGCUGGCUUAAUGGCCUUCAGCGACCCGUCUUGAAACACGGACCAAGGAGUCUAACAUCUAUGCGAGUGUUUGGGCGUC
RNAcentral lists this ribosomal RNA (587 nucleotides) under Helvella aff. sulcata De Avila 13B. RNAcentral's name for it is "eukaryotic LSU rRNA". It matches the Rfam family "Eukaryotic large subunit ribosomal RNA", at positions 104 to 702 of the family's 3401-position model. Lineage: Eukaryota; Fungi; Ascomycota; Pezizomycetes; Pezizales; Helvellaceae. The record is from RNAcentral.